GGGCAGGAAGAACAACACCCACCUCUUCACUAUCAACUAGAAAUUCAGCCAAUUGAAAGUGAAUAAGAAUCAAAAUCUUGUGCAAGUGAUGAGAUUCAUAACCAUCUAAGAAUUCUCUACAUAAGGAUGGAGGAUGGAUUAAGGAAGAAAGCUCAAGUCAUUCCGGAUCGCAAACAAACAACGGUAAAGGUAAAUCAACUUGAUCGAUGGCACUACUUGGACCGAACACACUCUUGA
This 237-nucleotide long non-coding RNA is filed under the name Helianthus annuus (common sunflower). RNAcentral's name for it is "hypothetical non coding rna". The record is from RNAcentral. Lineage: Eukaryota; Viridiplantae; Streptophyta; Magnoliopsida; Asterales; Asteraceae.